UGCAAAUAGACAAAGUGUUAUAAAAUAAACACUUAAAUGUGUAUUUGGGAUGUUUUCUUUCCACUAGUCUGAAAGAAGACGUUAUGUUAUGGAAGCAAAAUAGCCCAAAAUCUCAAAAUUGACCGCAUGAAAAACUAUGUUUUUGUCUGGGGGGUUUCCCUUUAAUGGAAGACACCCUAGA
Long non-coding RNA from Sebastes umbrosus (honeycomb rockfish), 181 nucleotides. RefSeq lists it as uncharacterized. The record is from RefSeq and is a predicted model, not a curated record. Lineage: Eukaryota; Metazoa; Chordata; Actinopteri; Perciformes; Sebastidae. The transcript has 3 exons.